GUGAAUCAUCAAAUCUUUGAACGCAAAUUGCACUCUCCUCGGAGAGUAUGCCUGUUUGAGGGUCAGCCUAUAAAAAAUAGACAUCGUUGAUGAUUAGCGGUGGAGGGCGUCGGAAAUUGGGUCAACUUAAAUCAUUUUGGUUUUUAAGGGAUUUAAAAUUGUCUUUUUGGUUCAAUGAUCGUGUUUGAGAUUUAUUUCUUUACACGUUUAAGGUAUCGAUUUUUAUUGGACGUGCCCAUCAUAUAGGUUUGCGUAGAUAUUC
Molecule: unclassified non-coding RNA, 262 nt
Filed under: Glomus sp.
Lineage: Eukaryota; Fungi; Glomeromycota; Glomeromycetes; Glomerales; Glomeraceae
Description: partial contains 5.8S ribosomal RNA and internal transcribed spacer 2
Rfam family: 5.8S ribosomal RNA (bases 1-65)
Source: RNAcentral